AAUAGAUACCCGGGUAGUCCAUGCCGUAAACGUUGGGCACUAGGUGUGGGGCUCAUUCCACGAGUUCCGUGCCGCAGCAAACGCAUUAAGUGCCCCGCCUGGGGAGUACGGCCGCAAGGCUAAAACUCAAAGGAUUGACGGGGGCCCGCACAAGCGGCGGAGCAUGCGGAUUAAUUCGAUGCAACGCGAAGAACCUUACCAAGGCUUGACAUGCACGGGAAGCCACCAGAGAUGGGUGGUCUCUUUGGACACUCGUGCACAGGUGGUGCAUGGUUGUCGUCAGCUCGUGUCGUGAGAUGUUGGGUUAAGUCCCGCAACGAGCGCAACCCUCGUCCCAUGUUGCCAGCGGGUUAUGCCGGGGACUCAUGGGAGACUGCCGGGGUCAACUCGGAGGAAGGUGGGGAUGACGUCAAAUCAUCAUGCCCCUUAUGUCUUGGGCUUCACGCAUGCUACAAUGGCCGGUACAAAGGGCUGCGAUGCCGUAAGGUGGAGCGAAUCCCAAAAAGCCGGUCUCAGUUCGGAUUGGGGU
Molecule: ribosomal RNA, 529 nt
Filed under: uncultured bacterium
Lineage: Bacteria
Description: bacterial SSU rRNA
Rfam family: Bacterial small subunit ribosomal RNA
Source: RNAcentral